This 388-nucleotide ribosomal RNA is filed under the name uncultured microorganism. Its description in RNAcentral is "bacterial SSU rRNA". It matches the Rfam family "Archaeal small subunit ribosomal RNA", at positions 330 to 720 of the family's 1478-position model. The record is from RNAcentral.
GUGCAGCAGUCGAGAAACUUCACAAUGUGCGAAAGCACGAUGAGGGAAUCCCAAGUGCUUGCUCGUAAGAGUAAGCUGUUUCUCUGUCUAAAACGCAGAGAGAGUAAGGGCUGGGUAAGACGGGUGCCAGCCGCCGCGGUAAUACCUGCAGCUCGAGUGGUGGCCGCUAUUAUUGGGCCUAAAACGUCCGUAGCCGGUUUACUAAAUGCCUGGGUAAAUCGGACCGCUUAACGGUUCGAAUUCCGGGUAGACUGAUAAACUUGAGACCGGGAGAAGCUAGAGGUACUCCUGGGGUAGAGGUGAAAUUCUGUAAUCCUAGGGGGACCACCAGUGGCGAAGGCGUCUAGCUAGAACGGGUCUGACGGUGAGGGACGAAGCCCUGGGGCGC